RNAcentral lists this long non-coding RNA (218 nucleotides) under Ananas comosus (pineapple). RNAcentral describes it as "long non-coding RNA (ACOM_LNC034503)". The record is from RNAcentral. Lineage: Eukaryota; Viridiplantae; Streptophyta; Magnoliopsida; Poales; Bromeliaceae.
CGAGGGUAAGCAAUAGCCACGAGUGAAAGAAAAAGGAAACUAAACAUUCACUUGUACUAUGAUUCAUUUUUUAUCAUAUAUAUUGCAUUCAUCUUGCUCAUUUUCGAAUUUCUUACAUUUCAUUUCAUCAUUUCUUUCUUACAUCACAUUUACCUCAAAAUACACAUUACAUUCUUUUCUUUACAUCAUUUAUCAUCAUGUACAAAAGAUGAUCAUAG